UAAACGAUAAACCACGAAGUAUCUUACUUAUCCAAAAGUUUUGUAUACCGUUAUUAUUAGAUAAUCUUGAGAGAGUGAAAUAUUGAAAUUUUAAGGAAAAUAUAUUAGAUCAAGGUGCAGAGGAUGGAUAAGAAAAAAUGGGUUACAAUAAUUCUGGGUUAAAUGGAUAAUUGGUUUAAAAUAACUAAUUUGAAGGCGGACUUAAUUGUAAUUAUUGUUUUAAUAAGAGAUAAUGAUAUAAACUCUAAAGCAUGUACAUAUCGCCCGUCGCUCGCGGGAAAA
This 282-nucleotide ribosomal RNA is filed under the name Megalobrachium poeyi. RNAcentral's name for it is "partial 12S ribosomal RNA". The record is from RNAcentral. Lineage: Eukaryota; Metazoa; Arthropoda; Malacostraca; Decapoda; Porcellanidae.